This 775-nucleotide ribosomal RNA is filed under the name uncultured Neocallimastigales. RNAcentral describes it as "partial large subunit ribosomal RNA". It matches the Rfam family "Eukaryotic large subunit ribosomal RNA", at positions 24 to 644 of the family's 3401-position model. The record is from RNAcentral. Lineage: Eukaryota; Fungi; Neocallimastigomycota; Neocallimastigomycetes; Neocallimastigales.
UAUCUCUGUAGAGUCUGCAUAUCAAUAAGCGGAGGAAAAGAAACUAACAAGGAUUCCCUUAGUAACGGCGAGUGAAGCGGGAAGAGCUCAAAUUUGAAAUCUUCAAGGUUCCUACCUUGACGAAUUGUAGUUUAAAGAAGUGUUUUCUGUUAGAUGAGUAGCAAAAGUUCCUUGGAAUGGGACAUCAUAGAGGGUGAGAAUCCCGUAUUUGGUUAUUCAUUCUAGCUUUGUGAUACACUUUCAAAGAGUCGGAUUGUUUGGGAAUGCAGUCCAAAAUGGGUGGUAAAUUUCAUCUAAAGCUAAAUAUUGGCGAGAGACCGAUAGCGAACAAGUACCGUGAGGGAAAGAUGAAAAGAACUUUGAAAAGAGAGUUAAACAGUACGUGAAAUUGUCAAAAGGGAAGCGUUUGACACCAGUGUUGUUUUUCCGAAAAUCAAUUACGAAUGGCUUGAUUUUGUGUUGUAUUGACCUUAUCAGCUUUCUUCACUUUUUUCGAGUCUUUCUUAAUGCACUUUUCGGUUAACAAGUCAACAUCAAUUUCUUUUGUUGUAAAAGAGUAUUCGGAAGGUGGCUUUCUUUUCGGAGAAAGUGUUUAUAGCCCUAUACUUCUACAAUCGGAGAGGUUGAGGUCUGCAGCGUAGAUCCUUCGGGGUUAGAUACACUUGUGCUAAGUUGUAGCUUUUCAUAGACAACUUGUUGACUAUGUUUAGUCAUGCGGCUUACUCGCUUGUGCUAUUUUACCUACGCUUAGGAUGUUGACUGAUAUGUAGUCGUA